ACACGUAGGAGGCAAGCGUUAUCCGGAUUUACUGGGCGUAAAGCGCGUGCAGGCGGUCUGGUAAGUUGGAUGUGAAAGCUCCCGGCUCAACUGGGAGAGGUCGUUCAAAACUGCCGGACUAGAGGACGGUAGAGGGAGGUGGAAUUCCCGGUGUAGUGGUGAAAUGCGUAGAUAUCGGGAGGAACACCAGUGGCGAAGGCGGCCUCCUGGGCCGUUCCUGACGCUAAGACGCGAAAGCGUGGGGAGCGAACGGGAUUAGAAACCCUAGUAGUCC
RNAcentral lists this ribosomal RNA (274 nucleotides) under uncultured bacterium. RNAcentral's name for it is "partial 16S ribosomal RNA". It matches the Rfam family "Bacterial small subunit ribosomal RNA", at positions 523 to 796 of the family's 1533-position model. The record is from RNAcentral.